CGAUUAUUUUGUUUACGUUUUAAAUGAUUUUUAUUAUGUAAAUAAUUGUUUAAAGAAUUAGACUGAAAAUUUGGCGGGAUGAGCCAGACCCUUGCAAUAGUGCAACGCAUGGGAGACUCGGGAAAGCCCAGAUAGCAAGCUACCUAGAUGGGCUUUCCCCCUUAAAAAAUUGAGUUAAUAUCGUGUGGGCCGAUGGCCCACAUAUCAGAUAUUAAACUGAUAAGAACAGAUACUACACUUGAUCUUAGCCAAAAGGCCGAGAAAGGU
Arabidopsis thaliana (thale cress) is the source of this 267-nucleotide RNA transcript. RefSeq lists it as uncharacterized. NCBI's taxonomy places the organism in Eukaryota, Viridiplantae, Streptophyta, Magnoliopsida, Brassicales, Brassicaceae. The record is from RefSeq. The transcript has a single exon.